This 481-nucleotide ribosomal RNA is filed under the name uncultured bacterium. RNAcentral describes it as "bacterial SSU rRNA". It matches the Rfam family "Bacterial small subunit ribosomal RNA", at positions 903 to 1397 of the family's 1533-position model. The record is from RNAcentral.
AAAGGAAUUGACGGGGACCCGCACAAGCAGUGGAGUAUGUGGUUUAAUUCGAUGCUAAGCGAAAAACCUUACCGAGGCUUGACAUCCUUGGAAUUCCGUCGAAAGAUGGAAGUGCCUUUUGGAGCCAAGUGACAGGUGCUGCAUGGCCGUCGUCAGCUCGUGUCGUGAGAUGUUGGGUUAAGUCCCGCAACGAGCGCAACCCUUGUCGUGUGUUACACUUUCACACGAGACUGCCCGGGCAACCGGGAGGAAGGUGAGGAUGACGUCUGGUCAGCAUGGCCCUUACGCCUCGGGCUACACACGUACUACAAUGGUCGUCACAACGGGUUUUGCCAAAGCGCAAGCUGGAGCUAAUCCCAUCAAAAGCGGCCUCAGUUCGGAUUGAGGGCUGAAACUCGCCCUCAUGAAGUCGGAAUUGCUAGUAAUGGCGGAUCAGCAUGCCGCCGUGAAUACGUUCCCGGGUCUUGUACACACCGCCCGU